CUAUAGCAUUGAAGUCAGACUCUGUACCAUCGGAGUUAGAUUAAAAUAAGCUGUAAACAGCUAGUUGUUACCUAAUCAAAGUUUUUGAACUGUCACAUGACCUUAAGUAGGUUACAGGUUUUUAAAAAAUAAUUAAUUCAUUAGGCUGCUCUGGGUCUUAGUUGCAGCAUGUGGGAUCUAGUUCCCGGACAAGGGAGGGAACCCUGGCCCAGUGCCUUGUUGAGUUCCGAGUCUUAACCACUGAACCACCAGGGAAGUCCCUCAACUUUUUAAAAUUAGAGUGUAUUUUAACUGAUUAGAGAGGCCUUUUAACAGAAAUUAUCAGCGGUGAGUUUCCUUGUAGUUUAGAAAAUGUUUUGGAUUGAUUUUUUUGUUAGGUAAGAAUAUAAUUGAAAUAGAAUUGUUUGCUGAAAUAAAAAAAGCCGAAUAUGAGAUCUGUGAGUUUCAGGUUUGUUUAGAGCCUUACUGAGGACGGCAGCCUGGGAGACAGCCUCUCAGAUUGUUCUGAGAACUCCUCUGCCUAGGUAAGAGAUUUGAUCUGCUUAUGUGUAGUUGGUGAUGGACAGGGACGCCUGGCAUGUUGCAAUCCAUGGGGUCACAAAGAGUCAGGACACGACUAAAUGAUUGAACUGAACUGAACUGAACUGAUAUGGAGAAAAAUAAUCACUGCAGAUUGUGACUGCAGUCAUGAAAUUAAAAAACACUCCUUGGAAGGAAAGUUAUGACCAACCUAGACAGCAUAUUAAAAAGCAGACACUACUUUGCCAACAAAGGUCCAUCUCGUUAAAGCUAUGGUUUUCCCAGUAAUCAUGUAUGGAUGUGAGAGUUGGACAAUAAAGAAAGCUGAGCACUGAUAAAUUGAUGCUUUUGAACCAUGGUGUUGGAGAACACUCUUGAGAAACCCUUGAACUGCAAGGAGAUCCAACUAGUCCAUCCUAAAGGAGAUCAGACAUGAGUGUUCAUUGGUAGGACUGAUGUUGAAACUGAUACUCCAGUACUUUGGCCACCUGAUGUGAAGAGCUGACUCAUUUGAAAAGACCCUAAUGCUGGGAAAUAUUGAGGACAGGAGGAGAAGGGGAUGACAGAGGACGAGAUGGUUGGAUGGCAUCACCGAAUCAUUGGACACGGGUUUGGGUGGACUCUGGGAGUUGGUGUUGGACAGGGAGGACUGGCGUGCUGUGGUUCAUGGGGUUGCAGAGAGUAGGACAUGACUGAGCGACUGAACUGAACUGAAUAAUGGAAUCAAUGUAGACUUUUUUUAUAUCGGCUACAUGAUUUUAUUUUUUUAAAUUUAUUUUUGGCUGCACUGGGUCUUUGUGGCUGCUUAAGAGCUUUCUCUAGUUGCAGAAAGCAGAGACUACUCUCUAGUUGUGGUGCUCAGGCUUCUUUUGCAGUGGCUUCUUGUUACGAAGCCCACAGUCUAGGCUUAUGGGUUUUAGAAGUUGCAGCAUACGGGGUCUGUAGUUGUGGUACAGGAGUUUAGUUGCUCGGCAGCAUGUGAAAUCUAAUGGACCAGCAAGCAGACCCAUGUUCCCUGUACUGGCAGGGUGGAUUCCUCUCCACAGUACCACCAGGGAAGUCCCUGUUAGAUGAUUUUUUAUUUUUUUGAAUUGCAGCUCAUGAUGCUUUGAGCUGUUUGAACUCAUGCUAAAAUGAUCCUAAUAUUUUUGAAAUCAGAUAUCCAGAGAGCUAAUUUAUAUUAAGAAAACCAUUAACAUUGAGUUGAAAUUAACACCUAUCUGCCCAUGUUUUUAGAUGGUGGUGUUUUU
Molecule: long non-coding RNA, 1769 nt
Organism: Dama dama (fallow deer)
Lineage: Eukaryota; Metazoa; Chordata; Mammalia; Artiodactyla; Cervidae
Exons: 3
Source: RefSeq, a predicted model, not a curated record